CCUACGGGAGGCAGCAGUAGGGAAUAUUGGACAAUGGGCGAAAGCCUGAUCCAGCCAUGCCGCGUGAUAGAUGAAGGCCCUCUGGGUUGUAAAUAUCUUUUAUCUGGGAAGAAACAAUCUUAUUCUUAAGAUCUUGACGGUACCAGAGGAAUAAGCACCGGCUAACUCCGUGCCAGCAGCCGCGGUAAUACGGAGGGUGCAGGCGUUAUCCGGAUUCACUGGUUUGAACGGGUGCGUAUAAGGGCGGGGUGAAAGCUUCGAGCUUAAGUAGGAAACUGCCAUUGAUACUGCCAGUCUUGAGUGUCGUAGAGGUAAGCGGAAUGUUGCAUGUAGCGGUGAAAUGCUUAGAUAUGUUACAGAACACCAAUUGCGAAGGCAGCUUACUAUGCGAUGAUUGACGCUGAGGCACGAAAGCGUGGGGAGCAAACAGGAUUAGAUACCCUUGUAGUC
Molecule: ribosomal RNA, 450 nt
Filed under: uncultured bacterium
Lineage: Bacteria
Description: partial 16S ribosomal RNA
Rfam family: Bacterial small subunit ribosomal RNA
Source: RNAcentral